This 1408-nucleotide ribosomal RNA is filed under the name metagenome. RNAcentral's name for it is "bacterial LSU rRNA". It matches the Rfam family "Bacterial large subunit ribosomal RNA", at positions 1493 to 2925 of the family's 2925-position model. The record is from RNAcentral.
AAAAAAUGGAAAAGCCGGUACAAGCGUAUAGCAGUCAUGCAGGCAAAACCGCAUGAAAAAUGUAAAGCGUUAUGUGGAUCGAACAUUAGUAGAGAAGCGUGUGAGCCAGCUGCCAAGAAAAGCCGCUAUUGUUUCAUAAGUACCCGUACCGUAAACCGACACAGGUGGAUGAGGAGAGAAUCCUAAGGCCGGCGGGAGAAGUGUUGUUAAGGAACUCGGCAAAAUGACUCCGUAACUUCGGGAGAAGGAGUGCCACAGAGAUGUGGCCGCAGAGAAAUGGCCCAAGCAACUGUUUAGCAAAAACACAGGUCUAUGCAAAACCGAAAGGUGAGGUAUAUGGGCUGACGCCUGCCCGGUGCUGGAAGGUUAAGAGGAGAGGUUAGAGCAAUCGAAGCUUUGAAUUUAAGCCCCAGUAAACGGCGGCCGUAACGAUAACGGUCCUAAGGUAGCGAAAUUCCUUGUCGGGUAAGUUCCGACCCGCACGAAAGGCGUAAUGAUUUGGGCACUGUCUCAACAACACACCCGGUGAAAUUGAAAUACCAGUGAAGAUGCUGGUUACCUGCGCCAGGACGGAAAGACCCCAUGGAGCUUUACUCCAGUUUGAUACUGGGAUUCGGUACUGUCUGUACAGGAUAGGUGGGAGGCUAGGAAAUGGUGACGCCAGUUGCCAUGGAGCCAACCUUGGGAUACCACCCUUACAGUACUGGGUUUCUAACCUGCAGCCGUAACCCGGCUGGGGGACAAUGUCUGACGGGGAGUUUGACUGGGGCGGUCGCCUCCGAAAGAGUAUCGGAGGCGCUCAAAGGUUCCCUCAGAACGGUUGGAAACCGUUCGAAGAGUGCAAAGGCAGAAGGGAGCUUGACUGCGACACCGACGGGUGGAGCAGAUACGAAAGUAGGACUUAGUGAUCCGGUGGUAUAAAGUGGGAUUGCCAUCGCUCAACGGAUAAAAGCUACCCUGGGGAUAACAGGCUUAUCACUCCCAAGAGUUCACAUCGACGGAGUGGUUUGGCACCUCGAUGUCGGCUCAUCGCAUCCUGGAGCUGUAGCAGGUUCCAAGGGUUGGGCUGUUCGCCCAUUAAAGCGGUACGCGAGCUGGGUUCAGAACGUCGUGAGACAGUUCGGUCCCUAUCCGGCGUGGGCGUAGGAUAUUUGAGAGGAGCUGUCCUUAGUACGAGAGGACCGGGAUGGACAAACCUCUGGUGUAUCUGUUGUUUUACCAAAGGCAUGGCAGAGUAGCCAAGUUUGGCAGGGAUAAACGCUGAAGGCAUCUAAGCGUGAAGCCCCCCUCAAGAUAAGAUAUCCCAUCUUCGGAGUAAGACCCCUUGAAGACUACAAGGUUGAUAGGCUUCAGGUGUAAGUGCGGUAACGCACUCAGCUGAGAAGUACUAAUAGGUCGAGGACUUAUC